GGGAAUCGUGGGGUUGAUGAAGUGAGUGAUUCAGAAUCAGAGAAGAGGUUCUUGGAUGAUUUCAAGUUGAGGUUUUUCUCAAGCAUGUCCAUGAAUGUCUGCGAUCAUUUCCCAGUGUUAAGGUGGAUCGGGUACAAAGGACUUGAGAAGAGAGUGAUUGAGAUGCAGAGGAUGAGAGAUGAGUACCUCCAACGACUCAUUGAUGACAUUCGAAUGAAGAAAUUUGAUUCCACUGGUUCGGUAGUGGAGAAAUUAUUGAAGCUCCAAGAGUCAGAACCUGAAUUCUACUCUGAUGAAGUUAUUAAGGGAAUUGUAGUGCUGAUGUUCAAUGCCGGAUCGGAUACUUCACCAGUGGUAAUGGAAUGGACAAUGUCGCUUUUACUGAACCAUCCAGAUAAGCUUGAGAAGGUCAGAGAAGAAAUCAAAUCCAAUGUUAAACACAAAGUGCUUAUACAAGACUCAGAUCUUUCGUGCUUACCUUAUCUUCGCUGUGUAAUCUAUGAGACGCUUAGGCUUUACCCUGCAGCUCCACUCUUGCUUCCUCACUCUUCAUCCAAGAGAUUCAACUUAGGCAACUACGAGAUCCCUGAAAAUACGAUGUUGUUGGUGAAUGCUUGGGCUGUUCAUAGGGACAGUGAGCUUUGGGAAGAAGCGGGUGUUUUUAAACCGGAGAGAUUUGAAGGGUUUGUUGGUGACAGAGAUGGUUUUAGGUUUUUGCCAUUUGGAGUUGGGAGGCGGGCGUGCCCCGCAGCUGGACUAGGAAUG
Molecule: long non-coding RNA, 765 nt
Filed under: Capsella grandiflora
Lineage: Eukaryota; Viridiplantae; Streptophyta; Magnoliopsida; Brassicales; Brassicaceae
Description: long non-coding RNA (CGRA_LNC000282)
Source: RNAcentral